RNAcentral lists this ribosomal RNA (253 nucleotides) under uncultured bacterium. Its description in RNAcentral is "partial 16S ribosomal RNA". It matches the Rfam family "Bacterial small subunit ribosomal RNA", at positions 524 to 776 of the family's 1533-position model. The record is from RNAcentral.
UACGUAGGGGGCAAGCGUUAUCCGGAUUUACUGGGUGUAAAGGGAGCGUAGACGGCGAUGCAAGUCUGAAGUGAAAGGCGGGGGCCCAACCCCCGGACUGCUUUGGAAACUGUAUGGCUGGAGUGUCGGAGAGGCAGGCGGAAUUCCUAGUGUAGCGGUGAAAUGCAUAGAUAUCGCGCAGAACUCCGAUUGCGAAGGCAGCAUGCCGGCUCCACACUGACGCUGAGGCACGAAAGCGUGGGGAGCAAACAGG